RNAcentral lists this non-coding RNA (22 nucleotides) under Rattus norvegicus (Norway rat). Lineage: Eukaryota; Metazoa; Chordata; Mammalia; Rodentia; Muridae. The record is from RNAcentral.
UACAGAGGGAAUAGUGCAGUCC